Molecule: ribosomal RNA, 880 nt
Filed under: Helotiales sp. REF055
Lineage: Eukaryota; Fungi; Ascomycota; Leotiomycetes; Helotiales
Description: eukaryotic LSU rRNA
Rfam family: Eukaryotic large subunit ribosomal RNA
Source: RNAcentral
CCAACAGGGAUUGCCUCAGUAACGGCGAGUGAAGCGGCAACAGCUCAAAUUUGAAAUCUGGCUCUUUCAGGGUCCGAGUUGUAAUUUGUAGAAGAUGCUUCGGGUGUGGCUCCGGUCUAAGUUCCUUGGAACAGGACGUCAUAGAGGGUGAGAAUCCCGUAUGUGACUGGGUGCCUUCGCUCAUGUGAAGCUCUUUCGACGAGUCGAGUUGUUUGGGAAUGCAGCUCAAAAUGGGUGGUAAAUUUCAUCUAAAGCUAAAUAUUGGCCAGAGACCGAUAGCGCACAAGUAGAGUGAUCGAAAGAUGAAAAGCACUUUGGAAAGAGAGUUAAACAGUACGUGAAAUUGUUGAAAGGGAAGCGCUUGCAACCAGACUUGCACGCGGUUGAUCAUCCGGUGUUCUCACCGGUGCACUCUGCCGCGUUCAGGCCAGCAUCGGUUUUGGUGGUUGGAUAAAGGCCUAGGGAAUGUAGCUUCUUUCGGGGAGUGUUAUAGCCCUAGGUGCAAUGCAGCCUACUAGGACCGAGGACCGCGCUUCGGCUAGGAUGCUGGCGUAAUGGUUGUAAGCGACCCGUCUUGAAACACGGACCAAGGAGUCUAACAUCUAUGCGAGUGUUUGGGUGUCAAACCCAUACGCGUAAUGAAAGUGAACGGAGGUGAGAACCCUUAAGGGUGCAUCAUCGACCGAUCCUGAUGUCUUCGGAUGGAUUUGAGUAAGAGCAUAGCUGUUGGGACCCGAAAGAUGGUGAACUAUGCGUGAAUAGGGUGAAGCCAGAGGAAACUCUGGUGGAGGCUCGCAGCGGUUCUGACGUGCAAAUCGAUCGUCAAAUUUGCGCAUAGGGGCGAAAGACUAAUCGAAUCGAACCAUCUAGUAGCUGGUUC